Molecule: ribosomal RNA, 253 nt
Filed under: uncultured bacterium
Lineage: Bacteria
Description: partial 16S ribosomal RNA
Rfam family: Bacterial small subunit ribosomal RNA
Source: RNAcentral
UACGUAGGGUGCAAGCGUUGUCCGGAAUUAUUGGGCGUAAAGAGCUCGUAGGCGACUUGUCACGUCGACUGUGAAAACCCGGGGCUCAACUCCGGGCCUGCAGUCGAUACGGGCUGGCUUGAGUGCGGUAGGGGAGACUGGAAUUCCUGGUGUAGCGGUGAAAUGCGCAGAUAUCAGGAGGAACACCGGUGGCGAAGGCGGGUCUCUGGGCCGAUACUGACGCUGAGGAGCGAAAGCAUGGGUAGCGAACAGG